Long non-coding RNA from Stylophora pistillata, 278 nucleotides. Lineage: Eukaryota; Metazoa; Cnidaria; Anthozoa; Scleractinia; Pocilloporidae. The record is from RefSeq and is a predicted model, not a curated record.
UCCAACAAAAGCGAAAGAUUUAAACGUCUGUCAAAGUUUUCAUUGAUCCACAUAGAGCACGUAUUCAAGCGAAUUCAGCGAAAAUCACCCUUCACCAAAGAGACAGAUCGGAUUCUGAGCCUGUUUGGGUCUUUCAGUUUUGGUUUCGUUCAUAAAACGAUCAGGAUACUAAACUUGGAAACUUCUACGUUUCCUGUUUGGUUUUUAUUUCAAUUUCUUGCUUUUGGUUUCUGGAGUCACACGACCAACGUAUCAAACUCGGCACGUGACACGUCCCG